Molecule: ribosomal RNA, 500 nt
Filed under: uncultured bacterium
Lineage: Bacteria
Description: bacterial SSU rRNA
Rfam family: Bacterial small subunit ribosomal RNA
Source: RNAcentral
GAUGAACGCUAGCUACAGGCUUAACACAUGCAAGUCGAGGGGCAGCGGGAUUGAAGCUUGCUUCAAUUGCCGGCGACCGGCGCACGGGUGAGUAACGCGUAUCCAACCUUCCGUACACUCAGGGAUAGCCUUUCGAAAGAAAGAUUAAUACAAGAUGGCAUCAUGAGUCCGCAUGUUCACAUGAUUAAAGGUAUUCCGGUAGACGAUGGGGAUGCGUUCCAUUAGAUAGUAGGCGGGGUAACGGCCCACCUAGUCUUCGAUGGAUAGGGGUUCUGAGAGGAAGGUCCCCCACAUUGGAACUGAGACACGGUCCAAACUCCUACGGGAGGCAGCAGUGAGGAGUAUUGGUCAAUGGGCGAGAGCCUGAACCAGCCAAGUAGCGUGAAGGAUGACUGCCCUAUGGGUUGUAAACUUCUUUUAUAAAGGAAUAAAGUCGGGUAUGGAUACCCGUUUGCAUGUACUUUAUGAAUAAGGAUCGGCUAACUCCGUGCCAGCAGCCG